Small nuclear RNA from Cricetulus griseus (Chinese hamster), 116 nucleotides. Its record names the gene U4. It matches the Rfam family "U4 spliceosomal RNA". Rfam says of the family: U4 small nuclear RNA (U4 snRNA) is a component of the major U2-dependent spliceosome. The structure of U4 snRNA from yeast and human has been reported. NCBI's taxonomy places the organism in Eukaryota, Metazoa, Chordata, Mammalia, Rodentia, Cricetidae. The record is from Ensembl.
AGCUUUGUGCAGUGGCAGUAUCGUAGCCAAGGAGGUAUAUCUGAGGCGAGAUCAUUGCUAAUUUAAAACUUUUUUCCAGGGUUUCAGCUCAUGAUCAUUGGCUCCACGCUUUUGUG